ACUGAGCCAUGCGAGUCGUUGUAGCAAUACAAGGCAUACGGCUCAGUAACGCGUAGUCAACCUAACCUAUGGACGGGAAUAACCUCGGGAAACUGAGAAUAAUGCCCGAUAGAACAUUAUGCCUGGAAUGGUUUAUGUUCCAAAUGAUUUAUCGCCAUAGGAUGGGACUGCGGCCUAUCAGUUUGUUGGUGAGGUAAUGGCCCACCAAGACUAUUACAGGUACGGGCUCUGAGAGGAGUAGCCCGGAGAUGGGUACUGAGACACGGACCCAGGCCCUAUGGGGCGCAGCAGGCGAGAAAACUUUGCAAUGUGCGAAAGCACGACAAGGUUAAUCCGAGUGAUUUCUGCUAAAGAGAUCUUUUGUUAGUCCUAGAAACACUAACGAAUAAGGGGUGGGCAAGUUCUGGUGUCAGCCGCCGCGGUAAAACCAGCACCUCAAGUGGUCAGGAUGAUUAUUGGGCCUAAAGCAUCCGUAGCCGGCUCUGUAAGUUUUCGGUUAAAUCUGUACGCUCAACGUACAGGCUGCCGGGAAUACUGCAGAACUAGGGAGUGGGAGAGGUAGACGGUACUCGGUAGGAAGUGGUAAAAUGCUUUGAUCUAUCGAUGACCACCUGUGGCGAAGGCGGUCUACCAGAACACGUCCGACGGUGAGGGAUGAAAGCUGGGGGAGCAAACCGGAUUAGAUACCCGGGUAGUCCCAGCUGUAAACUAUGCAAACUCAGUGAUGCAUUGGCUUGUGGCCAAUGCAGUGCUGCAGGGAAGCCGUUAAGUUUGCCGCCUGGGAAGUACGUACGCAAGUAUGAAACUUAAAGGAAUUGGCGGGGGAGCACCACAAGGGGUGAAGCCUGCGGUUCAAU
RNAcentral lists this ribosomal RNA (857 nucleotides) under uncultured archaeon. Its description in RNAcentral is "bacterial SSU rRNA". It matches the Rfam family "Archaeal small subunit ribosomal RNA", at positions 43 to 906 of the family's 1478-position model. The record is from RNAcentral.